RNAcentral lists this ribosomal RNA (468 nucleotides) under uncultured bacterium. RNAcentral describes it as "partial 16S ribosomal RNA". It matches the Rfam family "Bacterial small subunit ribosomal RNA", at positions 28 to 507 of the family's 1533-position model. The record is from RNAcentral.
GACGAACGCUGGCGGCGUGCUUAACACAUGCAAGUCGAACGGACAGGCCCUGCUUUUGUGGGGUGCUCGAGAGGCGAACGGGUGAGUAACACGUGAGUAACCUGCCCUUGACUUUGGGAUAACUUCAGGAAACUGGGGCUAAUACCGCAUAGGAGCUCCUGCUGCAUGGUGGGGGUUGGAGAGUUUCGGCGGUUGGGGAUGGACUCGCGGGUUAUCCGCCUGUUUGUGGGGUAGUGGCUUUCCAAGGCUUUGACGGGUAGCCGGCCUGAGAGGGUGACCGGCCACAAUGGGACUGAGAGACGCCCCAGACUCCUACGGGAGGCAGCAGUGGGGAAUAUUGCACAAUGGGCGGAAGCCUGAUGCAGCAACGCCGCGUGCGGGAUGACGGCCUUCGGGGUGUAAACCGCUUUCGCCUGUGACGAAGCGUGAGUGACGGUAAUGGGUAAAGAAGCACCGGCUAACUACGUG